This 453-nucleotide ribosomal RNA is filed under the name uncultured Prevotella sp. RNAcentral describes it as "partial 16S ribosomal RNA". It matches the Rfam family "Bacterial small subunit ribosomal RNA", at positions 341 to 791 of the family's 1533-position model. Lineage: Bacteria; Pseudomonadati; Bacteroidota; Bacteroidia; Bacteroidales; Prevotellaceae. The record is from RNAcentral.
ACGGGAGGCAGCAGUGAGGAAUAUUGGUCAAUGGACGAGAGUCUGAACUAGCCAAGUAGCGUGCAGGAUGACGGCCCUAUGGAUUGUAAACUGCUUUUGUACGGGAAUAAAGUGACCUACGUGUAGGUUUUUGCAUGUACCGUAAGAAUAAGGACCGGCUAAUUCCGUGCCAGCAGCCGCGGUAAUACGGAAGGUCCGGGCGUUAUCCGGAUUUAUUGGGUUUAAAGGGAGCGUAGGCCGUGCUUUAAGCGUGUUGUGAAAUGUAGGCGCCCAACGUCUGCACUGCAGCGCGAACUGGAGCACUUGAGUACGCAGGAAGUAGGCGGAAUUCGUCGUGUAGCGGUGAAAUGCUUAGAUAUGACGAAGAACUCCGAUUGCGAAGGCAGCUGACUGUAGCGUAACUAACGCUGAAGCUCGAAAGUGUGGGUAUCGAACAGGAUUAGAUACCCUGUA